UCCUCUUGCAAAUACUAUACCUGGAACCUGAACAAGUACUCGCUUUAAUAAAAAAGCGCCGCUAGCUAAAAUCCCAGUUUCAGAUUGCAAGUUCUUUAGCCACUGCUUAAACAGUGAUGAAUCAAUCGCACUCCUGAAAUUGGAAUUGGAGACGCCAGGGGCAGCGACGACCUGGACGGGUUGGCUGGGUUGACUGGGCAAAACGAGGGAGUGAGUGAGGGGCGGCGGUGACUCUGCCGACAUUUUGAGACAGAAUGGUCUUCUACUUCUGCGAGUUUGAUGUAGCAGAGAAAGAGACGGGGCUAUAACGGAGCAUUUUGCGAGUGCGAAACAAGACAUUGACGAAUGGAGUGGAAGCUUGAAGAAGAACGUAAGGAGCCCGAAAUUAUGUAUCCACG
Molecule: unclassified non-coding RNA, 398 nt
Filed under: Hevea brasiliensis (rubber tree)
Lineage: Eukaryota; Viridiplantae; Streptophyta; Magnoliopsida; Malpighiales; Euphorbiaceae
Source: RNAcentral